Molecule: ribosomal RNA, 345 nt
Filed under: uncultured bacterium
Lineage: Bacteria
Description: partial 16S ribosomal RNA
Rfam family: Bacterial small subunit ribosomal RNA
Source: RNAcentral
GCCCAGACUCCUACGGGAGGCAGCAGUGGGGGAUAUUGCACAAUGGGGGAAACCCUGAUGCAGCGACGCCGCGUGGGUGAAGAAGUAUUUCGGUAUGUAAAGCCCUAUCAGCAGGGAAGAAAGAAGACGGUACCUGACUAAGAAGCCCCGGCUAACUACGUGCCAGCAGCCGCGGUAAUACGUAGGGGGCGAGCGUUAUCCGGAUUCACUGGGUGUAAAGGGAGCGUAGACGGCCGUGCAAGCCAGGAGUGAAAGCCCGGGGCCCAACCGCGGGACUGCUCUUGGAACUGUGCGGCUGGAGUGCGGGAGGGGCAGGCGGAAUUCCUGGUGUAGCGGUGAAAUGCG